RNAcentral lists this ribosomal RNA (2773 nucleotides) under Escherichia coli. RNAcentral describes it as "bacterial LSU rRNA". It matches the Rfam family "Bacterial large subunit ribosomal RNA". The record is from RNAcentral. Lineage: Bacteria; Pseudomonadati; Pseudomonadota; Gammaproteobacteria; Enterobacterales; Enterobacteriaceae.
AGCGUACACGGUGGAUGCCCUGGCAGUCAGAGGCGAUGAAGGACGUGCUAAUCUGCGAUAAGCGUCGGUAAGGUGAUAUGAACCGUUAUAACCGGCGAUUUCCGAAUGGGGAAACCCAGUGUGUUUCGACACACUAUCAUUAACUGAAUCCAUAGGUUAAUGAGGCGAACCGGGGGAACUGAAACAUCUAAGUACCCCGAGGAAAAGAAAUCAACCGAGAUUCCCCCAGUAGCGGCGAGCGAACGGGGAGCAGCCCAGAGCCUGAAUCAGUGUGUGUGUUAGUGGAAGCGUCUGGAAAGGCGCGCGAUACAGGGUGACAGCCCCGUACACAAAAAUGCACAUGCUGUGAGCUCGAUGAGUAGGGCGGGACACGUGGUAUCCUGUCUGAAUAUGGGGGGACCAUCCUCCAAGGCUAAAUACUCCUGACUGACCGAUAGUGAACCAGUACCGUGAGGGAAAGGCGAAAAGAACCCCGGCGAGGGGAGUGAAAAAGAACCUGAAACCGUGUACGUACAAGCAGUGGGAGCACGCUUAGGCGUGUGACUGCGUACCUUUUGUAUAAUGGGUCAGCGACUUAUAUUCUGUAGCAAGGUUAACCGAAUAGGGGAGCCGAAGGGAAACCGAGUCUUAACUGGGCGUUAAGUUGCAGGGUAUAGACCCGAAACCCGGUGAUCUAGCCAUGGGCAGGUUGAAGGUUGGGUAACACUAACUGGAGGACCGAACCGACUAAUGUUGAAAAAUUAGCGGAUGACUUGUGGCUGGGGGUGAAAGGCCAAUCAAACCGGGAGAUAGCUGGUUCUCCCCGAAAGCUAUUUAGGUAGCGCCUCGUGAAUUCAUCUCCGGGGGUAGAGCACUGUUUCGGCAAGGGGGUCAUCCCGACUUACCAACCCGAUGCAAACUGCGAAUACCGGAGAAUGUUAUCACGGGAGACACACGGCGGGUGCUAACGUCCGUCGUGAAGAGGGAAACAACCCAGACCGCCAGCUAAGGUCCCAAAGUCAUGGUUAAGUGGGAAACGAUGUGGGAAGGCCCAGACAGCCAGGAUGUUGGCUUAGAAGCAGCCAUCAUUUAAAGAAAGCGUAAUAGCUCACUGGUCGAGUCGGCCUGCGCGGAAGAUGUAACGGGGCUAAACCAUGCACCGAAGCUGCGGCAGCGACGCUUAUGCGUUGUUGGGUAGGGGAGCGUUCUGUAAGCCUGUGAAGGUGUACUGUGAGGUAUGCUGGAGGUAUCAGAAGUGCGAAUGCUGACAUAAGUAACGAUAAAGCGGGUGAAAAGCCCGCUCGCCGGAAGACCAAGGGUUCCUGUCCAACGUUAAUCGGGGCAGGGUGAGUCGACCCCUAAGGCGAGGCCGAAAGGCGUAGUCGAUGGGAAACAGGUUAAUAUUCCUGUACUUGGUGUUACUGCGAAGGGGGGACGGAGAAGGCUAUGUUUGCCGGGCGACGGUUGUCCCGGUUUAAGCGUGUAGGCUGGUUUUCCAGGCAAAUCCGGAAAAUCAAGGCUGAGGCGUGAUGACGAGGCACUACGGUGCUGAAGCAACAAAUGCCCUGCUUCCAGGAAAAGCCUCUAAGCAUCAGGUAACAUCAAAUCGUACCCCAAACCGACACAGGUGGUCAGGUAGAGAAUACCAAGGCGCUUGAGAGAACUCGGGUGAAGGAACUAGGCAAAAUGGUGCCGUAACUUCGGGAGAAGGCACGCUGAUAUGUAGGUGAAGCGACUUGCUCGUGGAGCUGAAAUCAGUCGAAGAUACCAGCUGGCUGCAACUGUUUAUUAAAAACACAGCACUGUGCAAACACGAAAGUGGACGUAUACGGUGUGACGCCUGCCCGGUGCCGGAAGGUUAAUUGAUGGGGUCAGCGCAAGCGAAGCUCUUGAUCGAAGCCCCGGUAAACGGCGGCCGUAACUAUAACGGUCCUAAGGUAGCGAAAUUCCUUGUCGGGUAAGUUCCGACCUGCACGAAUGGCGUAAUGAUGGCCAGGCUGUCUCCACCCGAGACUCAGUGAAAUUGAACUCGCUGUGAAGAUGCAGUGUACCCGCGGCAAGACGGAAAGACCCCGUGAACCUUUACUAUAGCUUGACACUGAACAUUGAGCCUUGAUGUGUAGGAUAGGUGGGAGGCUUAGAAGUGUGGACGCCAGUCUGCAUGGAGCCGACCUUGAAAUACCACCCUUUAAUGUUUGAUGUUCUAACGUUGACCCGUAAUCCGGGUUGCGGACAGUGUCUGGUGGGUAGUUUGACUGGGGCGGUCUCCUCCUAAAGAGUAACGGAGGAGCACGAAGGUUGGCUAAUCCUGGUCGGACAUCAGGAGGUUAGUGCAAUGGCAUAAGCCAGCUUGACUGCGAGCGUGACGGCGCGAGCAGGUGCGAAAGCAGGUCAUAGUGAUCCGGUGGUUCUGAAUGGAAGGGCCAUCGCUCAACGGAUAAAAGGUACUCCGGGGAUAACAGGCUGAUACCGCCCAAGAGUUCAUAUCGACGGCGGUGUUUGGCACCUCGAUGUCGGCUCAUCACAUCCUGGGGCUGAAGUAGGUCCCAAGGGUAUGGCUGUUCGCCAUUUAAAGUGGUACGCGAGCUGGGUUUAGAACGUCGUGAGACAGUUCGGUCCCUAUCUGCCGUGGGCGCUGGAGAACUGAGGGGGGCUGCUCCUAGUACGAGAGGACCGGAGUGGACGCAUCACUGGUGUUCGGGUUGUCAUGCCAAUGGCACUGCCCGGUAGCUAAAUGCGGAAGAGAUAAGUGCUGAAAGCAUCUAAGCACGAAACUUGCCCCGAGAUGAGUUCU